RNAcentral lists this long non-coding RNA (9458 nucleotides) under Arabidopsis thaliana (thale cress). Its description in RNAcentral is "long non-coding RNA (ATHA_LNC000689)". The record is from RNAcentral. Lineage: Eukaryota; Viridiplantae; Streptophyta; Magnoliopsida; Brassicales; Brassicaceae.
CCCUCCUGUGGCUGGUGGGGUUGUUCCCGGUGGAAGAAUAGGACCUACAAUUGGCAAAGGCGGCAAUGGCAGAUUGGGACCUACCACUGGAGGUAUGGGUAGCCCUGAAAUCGGAGGAAGGGGUAGCUUAGGGACGGUCACUGGAGGAACGGGUAGCUUAGGUACAGUUACCGGGGGAACGGGUAGCUUAGGGACUGUCACUGGAGGAACGGGUAGCUUGGGGACGGUCACUGGAGGAACGGGUAGCUUGGGGACGGUCACAGGAGGAACGGGUAGCUUAGGUACAGUCACUGGUGGAACGGGUAGCUUAGGGAUGGUCACAGGAGGAACGGGUAGCUUAGGGACGGUCACCGGAGGGACUGGUAGCUUAGGGACGGUCACCGGAGGAACUGGUAGCUUAGGGACGGUCACCGGAGGAACUGGUAGCUUAGGGGCUUUAGGGGAGUGCUUUCCGCCCUUCCGUGGGUUGCAAGAGCCGCAUGCGAGAGAAUGUUGGGGGAGAUAGAUAAUGCAAAUGAGGAAGAGGCAAAGAGAGAGAGAUGAGAGUUUGGAGGAGUCCAUGUUGAGUAGAGUGGAUGGUGUAACUAUACGAAAGAGUAUAUGAAUAUAUAGAGGGAAAAUGAGAAGAAGAAUUCACGUGAAGAUGGGGGCUACUUCUGCAAUAAGAAGAGACGCCCCAAAAUAAGCAUGGUUGGCAAUUAUCAUAAGAAUACAAGAUUUCCUUGAUGACCCAUCGCUAUAUAUCAUCACAUGUCGACCACACUUUUUUCACUUUUUUUUUUCUAAGUGCCUCUUGUUCUUGGGUUAACUACAACUUUUAACAACGUGUAACUUCAGUUUCAACAGUACAGUACAUUUAACUUGUAGGAAUUGUAAUGAAUCAACUUAGCGAGACUAGGUCAUUAUGAGAUAUCAUCAAUACUAAAUAACAUUUUGAUGAUGUAAACACUCUAGGAAAAGCAGAUAAUAUAGUAUCAUAUGGUUUUCGCUUUAGUGUGUGGCUUCAUAAGCAUCUCCAUGCAUGAGUCGACUGCUAAGGAACAUAUAGAUCUGCACCAUAGUGAAGACGGCUUAGUCUAUUCAAAACACUAAUGUUGUGCCUUUCGAGGACCUCCCGAGACUCGAAUUCGAAUGCACUCUCCAAAGGUAUUAUGUUAGGGAAAAAACCUUAUUAAACCAAAUAUGUUACUGUUUAACCCAUACACGAAAAUUAGAUAUAUAAAUGUUGAACAAAUAGCAUAUAGUUAUAUCCAAUAUAUACGUACAUGAGAGGUAAAGAAGACAGCAAGACUGACAUGUGAAAUUCGGGAUACACUUUUGUUGUUUGGUGAUUUUGUUACGUAGUGUCAUUAAAGAAACGAUCAUGUGUGCGUGGACCAUCUUCUUCUUUUUACCGCUCAUUUCCCUUUUUACCAUAUCUACUACAAAAGAGUCCGAACUGACCAUUUAAUGAACGAGUACCAUUCAAUUCAUAAACUCCCCGUAUCAAUCUAACUGACACUGUAAAAGUUAUAAUGUUAAUAUAUAAAAAUAAUAUGGUUAUUUAGCAUGAAUAAUAACUUUUUAUAAUUGAGAGUAUGUCUAGCUAACAUUGGUGAUUGGUGCUUACAUAAAUCAUAUUUUUCAAACCACUUAACAAGAACUUUACAUAUUCAAUGAUAAACGAAUCACAUUUAUACAAUAUACCAUUCAAAAAUAAUAUUGUAAGAUGAUUUGAAAUUAAACGAUUGUAAUAUAUAAUGUGUUAAAAGUAAUGUAUUAUAGAUAUCUUGUAAUUAUUUAAAGGGUUUUGUGCAAAAAAAAAAACCACUAACUCAUACAUUUUUCCAAUUUACUAUCCAGCUCUAAUAAAUGCACAUUAAUCCUAUGAAUCUAAAAUAAUACGCAUUGUAACCCUUUUUGACCAUUUUUUGCUACCAUCAAUUUUGUAAAAUAUUGAUAUAUAAUAUGUUAAAUCAAAGCUCUCGCGACCAAGAGUUCAACUCUACCUUUAAAAAUUUUAAAAUGUAAUGUAUGUAACCGUAAAAACGCUUGUAAUAUGCAUAUGAAAUUUAUAUUACAUAUUAUGUUAAACUUCAUAAGAUUAAUCUGCAUUUGUUGGUAGUGCAUUUGUUAGAGGUGGAAGGUAAUGUUGCAAAAAUAGAUGAGUUAAAAGAUUUCUUUUUGCACAAAACCCUUUAUUUAAACUACUAACAAUAUAAUAUAUAAAUAAUUUAAAACAUAUAUCUCUAUAAUUCAUGAAGUAAUAAUGGUGUACCCUAUCCUUACCAACGAAUAAUAAAGAAAUGAUAUUAACUCUGAUUCAAAAGCUAUAUAUAAGAUAUUCUUUUUUUUUCCUCGGGAGGGAUACGAAUCCGGUAACAUGAAUCAGUGUCCAAUAAGAGCCAGUGGUCGUAAAUUCCAAAUGACAGAUGGAUGACUCAUUUUAAUUCGUAACUUUUGUCAGCUGCGAUAUAUGCUAAUGAAACCUGAGGUGCUAGAUUUUGAUUUUAAUGGCUUUAGAUUCUUACUCAACACUCAAUGGCCCACUCGUUAAUCUCUUACCUUCUAAAGUGAGUUAUGAUCCACUGCUUCUUUCUUCUUGUAGAUAGAUGGACCUGUUUUUUUUAGGUUGUGAUUUGUGGACAUUAAUCAACAACCCAUGUUUAUACGUGAUAAUGUCUGGAGCUAUAUGUAAAGGCGAUAUGGAGGACAACAUUCCUCUAUUCUAACUUUAAAAGCCAUGUAGUUAGGGCUGGACACCAAUAUUCUUUUUUUUUUUGCUAAAUUGUAAAUAUCAUUUUGAUGAAAAAUCAGGUUUUACAACAGUUGUAUAACCUAAAACAUUUGAACUCUUUGGCAAAAAAGAAUAAAAAAACGAAGAGCCAAUCGAGAGCUGCAUAGAACUCGGUAGUUUCAUAGCAGCCACAACGCUAUUAACUUGCGAAAAAGGAGUCUGUUUCUUCUUGAGGUGAUAACGUUUUUGAUUUUGCGGUUGAUGCACUUGAAUAUAGAAUGCGGAGAGAGGGAAGUAGCGUUGUGCAGGACAUUGUUAGGCUGCUUCAAGAUGUGGAAGACCUUAGACUGAACGACAAUAAUUUUAAGAACUGAUGAAGCCAAUAUUCAUCAUUUUCAAACAAAAAAUAUCUUUUGUUUGACACCAAUAUCCUUGACCAGCUUCAAACAAAGGAUAUACAUCAUUUUUAAGUCGGGUAAGGCAAAUGAGUAUAAGGAUUCUCAUUACACAUCUGGUUGCCAAAAACUUUUAGUCAAAUACUAGUUACAAUCUCAGUUUUUUACCCCAAACUUUUUGCCACUUAAAAAACUAGGGGUGGGCAUUCGGGUAAGCGGGUCGGGUUCGGGUUCGGGUAAAACCCGAUCAGGUAUAAAGAAGUUUAGGAUCUAAUAGGGUAAAUCUAAAAUAUCGGUUCGGUUUCGAUUCGGGUCCAACCGGGUUCGGAUAUAGAUUUGUGGCCUUUUUUUAUCCAGAUUUUUCGGGUAAAAUUUUGGAUUUCGGAUAAAAUUUAGAUUUUUGAAUAAAAUAUUUGGGUAUUUUCGGGUUCGAGUUUGUUUUUUCGGGUAGAGAAAUUUAGGAUCCAGUAAAGUACAUCUUCGGAUUUGGAUUAAGUUUCAGCUCUAAUUUUUCGAGUUAGUUUCGGUUCGGAUAAUCGGUUCUGGUUUUUUGGCCCGGCUCUAUAGAAAACCAUCAAUAAAUAUUUUAAUCCUAUUUCUGCCUCAUUACUCGAGAAAAUAUUCGACCCGUUUUAUUACUUGAUAAAUUUACAACUAUAUAUUUAUGUAAUCUAUUUCAUAUUAGUAAAAUAUAUUAAAUUUGUUAUUAAAACCAAAUAUCUUUUGAGAUUAGGGCAAUCAAAAGUUAAGGUCAAGCAAAUGUCUCCUUUCUAAAUGUUUUUGUGGGUAACGGUAAAGGACAAAUAUACAGCCCAUGCCCAGACCUACAAGUAGCGACUCCAUUACUACACAGUAAGAUUUUUAUUAAUAAAAAUGUGCAUGGUUUCAUUUAAAAGUCAUUGCUAACACUUCACUUUACAGUAAUAUUCAAUUUCAUACCUUUAAACGUUAAUCAGAAUCGCCAAUUGGAAGCCAGUCACUGGAAUCACCUUCCGAAUCCUUGCUAUGUCCAACUUGGCUCUUGCUGAGCUGAACCCAGCUUGACCCGCUUGCGUUUGAUGCUGGUCUUUUCAGUGUACUCCUGUUGGGACUUGGCUUCUCCGAGAGAUCAUCGACAUCUAAAUCACUAAAGGAGAUUACCUCUUCAUCUCUGAAACUCCUCCGUUGUUCUUCAGAUGACUCAUCACUUAUCUCCCUUUGCUCAAUUUUUAGAGUCUCUAUCUUGUCAAUGACUCCCUCAACGGUUUCUGUUUCCCUACUGCUACCUUCUUCAGGAGUUUCGUGACCAGUAGUGCUCUUGCUUGACCCUGUCUCUUUCUUUUGCAGCUUUAGUAAAAGUUGAUCCCUUGUUUCAAAUACCUGUGCCGCACAAUAUAGUUAUUAAAGUUUCAGAAAUAGGUACAAUAGUAACUUGGGAAAAAAUGCAGAGCAUAAAAGAUAUAAAACAAUCCAAUUUUAAAAGCAUCAGGCAAAAAUACAUUUUUUCCUGAGGCUAUACUUGUUCUUAUUGCAAUCGGUUGAAGGGGUCAUUAUAGCAUAAACGUUUACGAUUUUAAUAAUAUUGGAUCAAUACUGACAUUUCAGAAGAAUGUAUUUCCAGUAUACAGUCUUACCUUGCAUGUUGCUAAGAGUUCAAAAUCAUGCCCAUUCAGUCUCGGCAUCAGCAAAAUAAAAUAAAUCAGCCAGAAGUGUUCAUCAUCCAUGUAACUACUAACUUGAUUCUUCACAGCUACAAGGCCAGGAACCAAAUCUUCAAUGGCUGAUGCAUGUGCCCUUUGAGCCUCAGACAGUUCAAAUUCUGCAAUGUGGACAUGAAAAGUUGGAGAAAAACUUCAGCAUAAUUCAGUAGGUAAAAUUGAUGUAAACCACCAAUGCUUUUUAUCAGGAAGUGUUUCGACAACAUUUUCAAGCAAACCAAGCCUAUAUACAAAAGGUUGUACAGGAUGACGAUAUGCUUCGCAAUAAAAUAAAUAAAAAGAUUUAAGUGGCAUAUGGAUUGAACUAUAUAUAUAUAUAUAUAUAUAUAUAUAUAUCCCAAGAAGAGACUGCAGACCCCGUCAAGUUUAUUCGUAAUUCCUGGAGAUCUAUCUAAAGAACAGGGACUUCAAAAAAAAAAAUUAACUGCAGAAACAAUCAAUCUUGUCCAAACAGGUCUAGAAUAAAACACAUCAAGAGUUAAAGACUGAAGCAUAAUCAUCUUUGGCGACUGAAAACAAGUCAACUAUAUUUCCAAGAACAAUCAUGUUUAUUCCUGCAUGGCUGCAAGUUCGUCGACAAUAUCUUCAAGGUAUGAAAAAUGUGAUCUACAGAGAGUAAUGGGACCCCGAGAUCCUAAAGACCUGAGCUUGAAGAAAUAUAUCCCAAGAGGAGAUGGCAGGACCGGUCUAACCUAAUCUAAAAUACUAGGAAAUCUCUCUAAAGAACACCAGAGGCUACAAGCAAUCAACUGUACAAACAAAAAAAAUAUUUUCCUAAUAAAUCACAGUAAGAAAAUCAUAACUAAACAUAGAUAGUUAGAAACCACCAAUGCGGUGCUUCGACUAUACUUUCAAACUAACAAAGCCUAUAUACUGGGAACAAAAAUAUGCUUGAAGAAAUAUGUCCAAAUAAGCUUAAUCUGUAACCCUAGUGAUCCCACUAGAAAGCCAAUCAACUGUAGAAGCAAUCAAUCUUUUCCAAAUAAAACCUAUUUUAGUAACAAUUAUGUUUGCCUACUGGGAAAAAAAAAAGUCAAUGCAGAGCUUAAGACUAUUGAGAAUCAAGCUUUAUGAUUCCUCUAUUGACUAUACAGGAGCAUUACCAGUAUCGAGUGACAAUGGAAAAUCUGUCCAACAACCAGGUUUCGUCGAGAUUUUAACAGCGAAAUCGACUACUUCUUCAGAGAUUCCAGGAACUUGAUCGUUCAACGGAGAUCUUCUACUACUUUCUCUAUCUCUUAGAUUACUAGGAAAUUGGAGUAAAUUAGAUGCGAAAUUGGAGAAAUUUCCACGAAUCUCGGCUAGAUCGUUGCGGAUCCCGAGAAGACCUAGCUGAGUUGGUGAAUUAUCAGAGGAGAGUCGGCGUUCGUUUACAGGUGGAGAAGGAGGCGGUGCCAGGAAAGCUGCGACGCCACGGAGUAAGGAAGAUAAAUCUUCUUUGACACCGCCAUGAGUUGUGGAAGGAUCGGGAUCGGGAUCGUGAUCGUCAUCGCCGCGAGAUUUGAAGAGCCAAGACAUGGUUUUUGAGUGAGAGAGGUUGGAUUUGGGGUUUUCAGUUUUUUUUGCACGGGGUUACGAAUAGCAAGAGAGAAGAAACGGUACGUUUUAAUACCUUUCCAAAACGCACCGUUUGUUGUUUGUUCGUUUUGAUACCUUCCCAAACGUGAAAUAAACGAACAAUAAUUAUACAAAAUAAACGGAAACAAAACCUACUUUUUAAAACGGGAAAAUAUCGUUUUAUACGUGAUGUUUUUAAGAAUGGUCAUUUUAUAUGUAAACUUUUAGAUCGAUCAAAUAAAAUAUGAUAAAAAUGUUGAUCCGCUAUUUAAACAAAACAUAAAGUUUGCCUGGCCAAAAUUUCCGAAAUGUUAACUUGUAUUAACGGAUCUGAUAACCCUCGUUAGCAGACGUUAGUCGUCUUCCGUUAAUACCAAACGAUUUUUUGUGAUGAGUACAAACCUUAAAAUUCCCAAAUCGAUUUUUCAUUCCCUAAUUCUUCAUAAUCCCCAAAAUUUGAACUAUUCUCGAUAUAUUUUUUUUGAGCUCAAAAUCUCCAUUUUGUGUAGAUAUGAGUUUAAAAAAUUUGAGUGUUCAAGAAGGAGGAAGUGGGAACCUUGGGUUUCCUUCAAAGUGUCAUUGGGGGAGAGAUUUCAUCAUCUAUAUAUCAAGCUCGACGAAGAACCCAAGAAGAUCCUUCUUCUGUUGUCCAACAUAUCAAGAUGUAAGUAGAUUUGAAUUUGUUUUUUUUGGUGUUUGAUCGGUAAAAAGUUGUCGUUGUAAAUGCAGGACCAUUUGUUUAAGUGAGUCGAAGAUUGUGUGUAUGAAGAGGUUGUAGAUGCAAUACUGAUAAUCUCUAUGAUUGAUAGCUAGAUAAACAAUGUCAAAUUUCAGGUUGUAGUCGAGAUUGCAGAAUUAAAGGUUUUGAUCCAAGAAUUGAAGGAAGAUGAAAUGUGGAGCAAAAUGGAAUUGAAGAUAUGGAAAUCGAUGACCAAAUUGUGCUUGGUGUGCCUUUGUAUAACAGUCAUUGCAAUUAUGAUCAUAAUGUUCUAUAAGACCAAAAACCAUAAGCUUGUUCUUGGUUACUAGUGUUUUGUGUUUGUAAUAAAAUGUUUUUAUGGUACUGAAAUGUUUGUUUGGCAAUGAUAAUCAGUCCUAGUGUUUUGUCUUAGUGUUGUGAUUGUAAUGAAAUGCUACUAGAUGCUUGUUUAACAAUGAGAAUCACCAAAAUGAAACUCAUUCAUACAUUAUAAAACUUGUGUCACAAAGACAAGUCGAAACCACAAAAUGAAAUCGAUACUAAGCUUAUGUCAUAAAGACAAAUCCAUUAUGUCAACCACCAAAAAUAAACUUAUGAGAAAGCUUAAGUUCAAACAACAACAAAAAGAAACUUGUGACUAAUCUUGUCUUGAACACUCAAACCAUGAUGCAAAUCCACCAAGUCCUUGUGGUUGAGCAUGUGGCUCAGUUUGUGCUUGUGCUUGUGGUUCUGUUUGGGAUUGUACUUGUGAUGCUCCACCUGUCUCCCUUGGUCUUUCUGAUGUUCCGCCUGUUGCCCUUGGUCCUUGUGAUCGAAUAUGAGAUUGUGAUCCUUGAUGAGGUUGUGAUCCGUGUAUUUGCUCUUGCGAUUCGAGCACUUGAGAUCGUGAUCCUUAAUGAGAUUGUGAACUUUGAUGAGGUUGUGAUCUUAGCACUUGUGAUUCCUCCUAAGUUAAAUAUGACAGUCUGAACAGUUGCAUGAUUAAGUGAGUUGUAAAACAUAUAAAAAAAAACAAGAAUACAAACCUGAUUUAUUCGUGGAUGACCUCUUGGUCUCUUUGGUGGAAUCAGAAUAGUGGCAUUUUUGCAGCUUUGCUUGUUUGCCCUUGUUGAAGGCAGUUAGAGCAUGUCAUGAUUCUCUUUUGCAGUGGCAUCUUGUUCUUAUUUGAAGAAGAAGAAGUCUCAUUUCUUCCUUUUCUCCUAACAUAAUUACUCGGUCUUCCAACAUUUCCUUUUGUCCAUGGUGGUGGCAAAACAGGGAGCCUAUUGGUUUUAGGCCACAAUGGCAUACCUUGGACAAGGCUAAUACCAUCUUUAUAAGUUUUUCGCCAGAUUACCUUUGUGUAAAACUUGCUCACAUAGUCUGCAACUGUUUCUCUUCUUCCUAUUAUCACAGGUGUCGCAUAAAUACAUGGGAUCCCCACCAUCUACCACUUCCUGCGACCACAAGUUCUCUUCUCCGUAUCAACAUAGUAGCUAACACCAUUCACAUCAAUUUGAUACAAAUUGUUUCUGGACAUAUAUCUCUCGCAAUUUCUAACCCCAACUAUCAUUUUCUCAAUCUCAAGAUGGGCUCUCUUUGUGAACCUUGUCUUCAAUUUGUCAGCAAUGAUAUACGUCUUCGUAGUUAUGACCAUGCAUUACCUCUGGAUGUACUCUAGCUAAUCCAACAAAGGCUUUCUCCUAGCCUGUUUAAUAGUCUUAUUAAAAGACUCACACUGAUUAUUGAGGCUGUCAUUGCAACGUGUCCAAUUCUAAAGAAGGCUCUCGACCAUGUCAUUGGACUAGUAAGUUGCGAGUGGCAUGCGCAUGAGGAUUGUAUCUCUUUAGCUCUUCCAUAUUAUUCAUGAACACUUCUUCAGUGUAGCUUCAAAUUGUUUUUCAAAGAGACAUUGUAGUUCUAUCUCAUGGUUGUCUCUCUUCCAAUUGUCCAUUAUAUGCCUUGAAUAUUGUCGAUGCUCAACUUCUGGAAGUAUGGUAUUGAUAGCUUUGACUAGACCCUGUAAAAUAACACAAAAACAUAAGCGUAAACCCUUCAUAAAAGACAUUAAACUGAAGCAAAAGAUGAUAAAAUUAACUGAUUAUUUAUCUGAAAUGAUAACUAGAUGUUGCAUUUCACAGUCCCAAACUAGUAGAGAGCUGUCUCAAAAACCAGUCCCAAUUAUCAUUGUUUUCUAUCUCAACAACUGCCCAAGCUAUAGGAACAAUCCUCUUAUCUCCAUCUCUUCCAACUACAGCUAAAAGGUGACCUUUUACAUCCCAUUUUAGAAAACCCAUCUAUUCCUAUCACAGGUCUACAAGUUCGCUUCCAAGAAUCCUUUUGAGAUUUAAAGCAGAUAUAGCACCAGAGAAAAGAAUCCUUUUGUGAUAUAAAGCAGCUAUAGCAUCAGAGAA